RNAcentral lists this ribosomal RNA (1347 nucleotides) under Triticum aestivum (bread wheat). RNAcentral's name for it is "partial small subunit ribosomal RNA". The record is from RNAcentral. Lineage: Eukaryota; Viridiplantae; Streptophyta; Magnoliopsida; Poales; Poaceae.
AUGGGGAAAAAGCUACCCCCUUCUACUCCGACGGCGGGAAGGCGGCGCAAAGGUCCCUCCUUGGCCCCGCUCUCCGCCUGCAAGCGCCGGCGGACCCAUGAGGCAAGCGGCUGGGCUUCCCUCCCCACCGAUGUGGUUCACCUCGUCACCAGCCGCCUGCUGGCCGGCGACGUGGUGGACUACAUCGUCUUCCGGGCCGUCUGCUCCGGCUGGCGCAGCUGCACGAGCGACGCGCGCGACCCCACGCUGAGCAAACCGGACCUCUGGCCGCGCGGCUGGGUCGCCCUCUGCGACGGCGACGGGGUACGCCCGGACGACGCCGGCGAGAUCGGCUUCUUCCACACGCGGACGGCCAGGCGCCUCCGCGUCCGCCUGCCGGAGCUCCGGCGCCACAGGAUCGUCGGUUUCACCCAGGGACUGAUCAUUCUUCUGAACAAACGCACCGCCGCCGUCCGGGUGCUGCAUCCCUUCACACGGGUCGUGGUCGACCUCCCGUCCCUCGUCCCUGUGUUCCACGACGCCGUCAGGAACCGGAACUCUCUGCUUGACAUGAAUGCCGCGGUCUGCAGCGCGUCCGCGACCUCCAUUGCCGUGGUGGCAUGGUUCCCGUGGACACAUGUGGUGAUCGGCGCCGAGGCUGGCCGCCCAACUUGGGAGGUCCUCCACCGAGGGCUUUUCCUUAGGAGCAUCCUGCCCUUCCAAGGAAGGCUUUACGCGACAGUCGGCGAGGGUGGCUCAAGGAAGAUCAUGCAGCUGUAUCCGAGAUCACCACAUCCUGUGCUUGCUCAUGUUCCAAAUAAUUUUGGUGAUCCGAGCCUAUGCAGCUACUUCCUCGUGGAGUCUGGUGGGCGAGUGCUGCUUGCCAUCCGCCAUUUAACUGCACAACAUUGUGGCGUGGACCCCUUCCAGCAAAAUGCCUAUAAGCUAUUUGCGUUGGACAUCGACCGCGGUGAGCUGAUCCCAGUGAACUGCCUCGGUGGCCGCGCGCUGUUCCUCAGCAGGGAUCGGUCCCUCUCUGUUUCAGCCAGGGACCUCCCUUCUGUGAACAGCAACUCCAUUUACUUCUCUUUGCGCCGUGACCCUGUUGUGGUGCACUCCAUAAGGACAGGUUUCUCUGAGCGGCUAGCAGUGACAUGCCAAAUACAUGAUGGGAAGGAUAGGAUCCGACCCUCCGUGCGCCCCUUCACCAUUGCUGACCAUCUUCUAACCUACUGCCAUCCUCAUGAGUGGACAAAAGGACUCAUGUUUCAUGAGUACCACUCCAUACCUGAAUCUUUUGAGGAAUUGACGAAGAACAUCAAGGCAAAAAAUUCCGAACUACGGAUUCCUCGCAUUGCGGCUCGUUGA